CCGAAUUCGUCGACAACAGAGUUUGAUCAUGGCUCAGAUUGAACGCUGGCGGCAGGCCUAACACAUGCAAGUCGAACGGUAACAGGAAACAGCUUGCUGUUUCGCUGACGAGUGGCGGACGGGUGAGUAAUGUCUGGGAAACUGCCUGAUGGAGGGGGAUAACUACUGGAAACGGUAGCUAAUACCGCAUAACGUCGCAAGACCAAAGAGGGGGACCUUCGGGCCUCUUGCCAUCGGAUGUGCCCAGAUGGGAUUAGCUAGUAGGUGGGGUAACGGCUCACCUAGGCGACGAUCCCUAGCUGGUCUGAGAGGAUGACCAGCCACACUGGAACUGAGACACGGUCCAGACUCCUACGGGAGGCAGCAGUGGGGAAUAUUGCACAAUGGGCGCAAGCCUGAUGCAGCCAUGCCGCGUGUAUGAAGAAGGCCUUCGGGUUGUAAAGUACUUUCAGCGGGGAGGAAGGGAGUAAAGUUAAUACCUUUGCUCAUUGACGUUACCCGCAGAAGAAGCACCGGCUAACUCCGUGCCAGCAGCCGCGGUAAUACGGAGGGUGCAAGCGUUAAUCGGAAUUACUGGGCGUAAAGCGCACGCAGGCGGUUUGUUAAGUCAGAUGUGAAAUCCCCGGGCUCAACCUGGGAACUGCAUCUGAUACUGGCAAGCUUGAGUCUCGUAGAGGGGGGUAGAAUUCCAGGUGUAGCGGUGAAAUGCGUAGAGAUCUGGAGGAAUACCGGUGGCGAAGGCGGCCCCCUGGACGAAGACUGACGCUCAGGUGCGAAAGCGUGGGGAGCAAACAGGAUUAGAUACCCUGGUAGUCCACGCCGUAAACGAUGUCGACUUGGAGGUUGUGCCCUUGAGGCGUGGCUUCCGGAGCUAACGCGUUAAGUCGACCGCCUGGGGAGUACGGCCGCAAGGUUAAAACUCAAAUGAAUUGACGGGGGCCCGCACAAGCGGUGGAGCAUGUGGUUUAAUUCGAUGCAACGCGAAGAACCUUACCUGGUCUUGACAUCCACGGAAGUUUUCAGAGAUGAGAAUGUGCCUUCGGGAACCGUGAGACAGGUGCUGCAUGGCUGUCGUCAGCUCGUGUUGUGAAAUGUUGGGUUAAGUCCCGCAACGAGCGCAACCCUUAUCCUUUGUUGCCAGCGGUCCGGCCGGGAACUCAAAGGAGACUGCCAGUGAUAAACUGGAGGAAGGUGGGGAUGACGUCAAGUCAUCAUGGCCCUUACGACCAGGGCUACACACGUGCUACAAUGGCGCAUACAAAGAGAAGCGACCUCGCGAGAGCAAGCGGACCUCAUAAAGUGCGUCGUAGUCCGGAUUGGAGUCUGCAACUCGACUCCAUGAAGUCGGAAUCGCUAGUAAUCGUGGAUCAGAAUGCCACGGUGAAUACGUUCCCGGGCCUUGUACACACCGCCCGUCACACCAUGGGAGUGGGUUGCAAAAGAAGUAGGUAGCUUAACCUUCGGGAGGGCGCUUACCACUUUGUGAUUCAUGACUGGGGUGAAGUCGUAACAAGGUAACCGUAAGCUUGGAUCCCGGG
This 1538-nucleotide ribosomal RNA is filed under the name Escherichia coli. RNAcentral's name for it is "bacterial SSU rRNA". It matches the Rfam family "Bacterial small subunit ribosomal RNA". Lineage: Bacteria; Pseudomonadati; Pseudomonadota; Gammaproteobacteria; Enterobacterales; Enterobacteriaceae. The record is from RNAcentral.